This is a long non-coding RNA of Neofelis nebulosa (Clouded leopard), 482 nucleotides long. RefSeq lists it as uncharacterized. The record is from RefSeq and is a predicted model, not a curated record. The transcript has 2 exons. Lineage: Eukaryota; Metazoa; Chordata; Mammalia; Carnivora; Felidae.
CCCGGCCGCCGGUGCACAGUCGCGCGGGGCCCGGCCCGGCGGCCCGGUGGCCCGGUCGACGGUGGACGCUGGUGCGCGGCGGGCGAGGGUCCCGGCAGGUCCCGCCGCCGCGACUGGGGCGCCGCGCCGCCGUCGCUGCAGACGGUUAUGGUAAUGAGCGGCUCUGUCUAGCGAGGAGCGUGUGAAACCCGUCAAUCCUGUUUGCCAUUUCCCCGUGGAUUUCCGAGGAGAGGUUCUGCAGGAUGCCCCCAGGUGAUCCUCCGACUGUGAAAAACCAAACCUCUUGCUGCCUGGCUCCCUAGGAAUCAAGGAGAGGCACAGACUGAAAAUCAGAGAGGGAAGGAGUAAGAUCAAGGACGACGAUUAGCAUCUGCAAAUUGAACUCUAUCUAAUUUGCAUGUUUAUUUCUUAGAAUUGUAAUUAAAUUUGUGUAAUAAAUGUUUUCCAUUUCAUUUGUACACUUAAAAUUUGGGUGACUGACA